This 16026-nucleotide long non-coding RNA is filed under the name Solanum lycopersicum (tomato). RNAcentral's name for it is "long non-coding RNA (SLYC_LNC000428)". The record is from RNAcentral. Lineage: Eukaryota; Viridiplantae; Streptophyta; Magnoliopsida; Solanales; Solanaceae.
UUCCUGAUGCUCAUCUAAUGUACAUAAAUUCUAAAGGUGAGCCCUCGAUUUGAUUUAUAGAUUAUAACUAUGUAACUCAGAGAGAUAUAAAAGCAGAAAAUGUCAUGGAGGAAGUACCAUUAGAAGGAAUGAACAUUGAAGUAAUAUUAGAAGAAGAAUUUGCAGUAGACCUAGUAAUAGAAAAAGUAAAAGAGAUAAGUUACAGCAACAUAAAUAAACUGUUUAAAUGUAAAGGAUGUAAACUAGGAAAUUUAGACUUAAAAAAGUUAACAUCUCAUUUUAAAAUAUGUGAAUUCAGGACAGAUAAUAGAGGCUAUAGAUUAGAAAAAAUAUUACAAGAAAAAUUAGAAAAAGCUAAUAAUAUAAUAAAAGAAAUACAAGAAAGUGAUAGCGAGACAACUGAGUUAGAAUCUAUAAUUAGCCAAAAAGAACUGUCACGACCCAAAUCGGGUUGCGACUGGCACCCACACUUUCCCUCCUAUGUGAGAGAACCAACCAAUCUAACCUUAACAUUUCAAUAUAAUAUCAACAGAAAGUAAUGCGGAAGACUUAAACUCAUUAAAUAAAGACCAAUUCAUUAACUUCUAAAAUUCAACAUCUAUUAUUCCCCCAAAAUCUGGAAGUCAUCAUCACAAGAACAUCUACGAUCAAAUGACUAAACUAAGAAUAUUCUAAAAGCUAAAAAUACAUAAGAAGCUAGUCCAUGCCGGAAGUUCAAGGCAUCAAGACUUGAAGAAGGAGAUCCAGUCCAAGCUAGAAGCAUUAGCUCACCCUGAAUUUCCGAUAUAGUAAGACUGGCUUGAAUUACUGUUGAAUUGAAGACGAUGGCAUGUUUGCUGCACUUCACAAAUAAACAAGAAGAAAACAUAAAAGUAGGGGUCAGUACAAAACACGGGUACUGAGUAGAUAUCAUCGGCCAACUAAAAAUAGAAAACAAUAUAUACAAGUAAUAUCAUAAACUCAACUAUGAUACUCAACAUGUAGCAACAACAAGUACUAUAUCAUUAACCAUUACCAUCAAGUUCACACAUGAGGACUCAAGCCUCAAUACUAUACUCAUUUGGGAAUUAUGUUCUUUAGAUUGAGUAUAUUAACAUCUUUCAAGAUUCAUUAUCUUUAUUUCUCUUGUGUCGGUACGUGACACUCCGCUCCCUCAUAUUCAUUAAUCCUCUUGUGUCCGUACGUGACACUCCGAUCCCCUAAAUCUACGUGUCGGUUCGUGACACUCGAUCCCCUAAAUCUACGUGUCGGUUCGUGACACCCGUUCCCCUAAUUCUACGUGUCGGUUCGUGACACCCGAUCCCCUAAAUCUACGUGUCGGUUCGUGACACCCGAUCCCCUAAUUCUACGUGUCGAUUCGUGACACCCGAUCCCCUAAAUCUACGUGUCGGUUUGUGACACCCGAUCCCCUAAUUCUACGUGUCGGUUCGUGACACCCGAUCCCCUAAUCUCUUUCUAUCAAUUCAUCAAGCCUUCUUUCUCACCAAGGCAUCAUCAAUCUCAUUACUUUAGUUCAUCAAGCCUUCUUUUAUAUCAAGGCAUCAUCAUUAACAAGAGAUUAGGUUUUUAUCAAGAUUUGGGAUUCAAUAGCUUCAUCAUGCUUAAUAUAAUCACAAUUAUAUAAUCACGUUCAUGCAUGCGUACAAUUAAGCACAUAGCAGGGUUUUACAAUACUACCAAUACAUAUCAUUCUCUAUUAAGAGUUCACUAUGAAAGCAUGAAAACCAUAACCUACCUCCAUCGAAGACUAGUGAUCAACAAGCUAUCUUCUCAAAAUCCUUGCUAUCCUCUUCAUUUCUCUCUCUCUCUACUCGUUCUCUUUCUUUUUCUGUCUCUCCUUGUUCUUUCUAUUUUUUCUUAUUCAAACCCUCUUUCUUUUACCCUAAUGAACAUAUAAUUAAGAAUAAAAGAUGGUAAUAAUGCCCCACUAAUUAACUUAAGGUUACCUCUUUUAACCCCCAAGUAAUUAGACUUAUUAACAUUAACCCACUAACUUUGUAAUUAAGGCAAGAAUAGUCAAAAACGUCCCUUAAAACGUAUGAAGAAAUCCGACCCAGACUGGGAUUUGCACAACGUGUGACGGGUCGCCGUGCCUGCGACGGUCCGUCCUGCAGGUCGUCGCAAAGUUCAGAGACCCAAAUUUCCACCAAGGGUCUGUGACGGUCCGUCACACCUAUGACGGUCCGUCCUGCCAUUUCGUUACGAAGUUCAGAGAGUCAAUUUUGAGUACCCAAUUUUUAGUUUUUCUAAGUGUUUUGAAACGAGACCCUGCAAUGGUCCGUCGUGCCAUGACGGUCCGUCGUUGGGUCCGUCGCCUCAGCCUGUUUUUCCAGAAUAAAAUCUACUGCUCAAAACGACUAAACAGGUCGUUACAACAGAUACCAAUUUACCCAUCGUUCGUCCCCGAACGAUCAAAAGAAGGAAAACAAGGGCGAAAAGGAGUACCUGAAUCUGUAAACAGAUGUGGGUAUUUUUCUCGCAUAUCCGCCUACUUCUCCCAAGUGGUUUCUUCAACGGGUCGAUUCUUCCAUUGCACCUUGAUGGAUGCAAUCUCUCUUGACCUCAACUUGCGAACUUCUCUAUCUAAAAUAGCAACAGGCUCCUCCUCAAUAAGACAAGUUCUCAUCAAGCAAAACUGAAUCCCAACGGAUAAUGUAGUUUCUAUCCCCAUGGUAUCUUUUCAACAUCGACACAUGGAAUACCGGAUGUAUUCCGGACAGCCCUGGAGGCAAGGCUAACUCAUAAGCCACCUCUCCUACUCGCUUAAGUACUUCAAAUGGUCCAAUGUACCUUGGACUUAGUUUACCCCUUUUACCAAACCGCAUCACCCCUUUCAUUGGUGAAACUUUCAACAAGACUUGUUCACCCUCCAUGAACUCUAAGUCUCUAACCUUUCGAUCUGCAUAUUCUUUUUGUCUACUUUGCGCCGCUAGAAGCUUUUCUUGAAUAGACUUCACUUUCUCUAUCGAAUCCCUCAAAAGGUCAGUACCCCAAGGCCUAACCUCAAAUGCAUCAAACCAACCAAUGGGAGACCUACAUCUCCUACCAUACAAUGCUUCAAAUGGAGCCAUAUCAAUGCUUGAGUGAUAGCUAUUAUUGUAUGAAAACUCCGCUAAGGGUAGGAAGCUAUCCCAAUGGCCACCAAACUCUAUCACACAUGCACGAAGCAUAUCUUCCAACACUUGAAUCGUUCUCUCAGACUGACCAUCGGUCUGAGGAUGGAACGCAGUACUAAGGUCCAACCUAGUACCCAAUUCCGCAUGCAAUGUUUUCCAAAACUUAGAAGUAAACUGCGUACCUCUAUCUGAUAUGAUGGAUAGUGGAACCCCAUGCAAUCGCACCACUUCCGAGAUGUAAAGUUUGGCUAAGUUCUCUGCAUUGUAAGUCACCUUGACCGGAAUGAAGUGAGCAGACUUAGUUAACCUAUCAACAAUUACCCAAAUAGAAUCAAACUUUCCCAAUGUCUUGGGAAGACCAACCACAAAGUCCAUUGCAAUUCUCUCCCACUUCCAUUCAGGAAUGGGCAUUCUCUGAAGUGUUCCUCCGGGCCUCUGGUGUUCAUACUUUACUUGUUGACAGUUUGGACACUUGGCAAUAAAGUCAACAAUAUCACGCUUCAUUCUACUCCACCAAAAGUGUUGCUUUAGGUCACGAUACAUCUUGGUUGCACCCGGAUGUAUAGAAUACCUUGAACUAUGAGCCUCUGUCAGAAUAGUGUUGAUCAAAUCAUCGACGCGGGGUACGCAUACCCUUCCCUUGAUCCUCAAAACACCUUCCUCAUAAAUUUGUGCUUCCUUAGCCUCUCCUCGCAAUACCUUAUCUUGAAUUCUGCGCAGUUUCUCAUCAUCAGACUGUCUUCCCUUAAUCUUGUCAAGAAAGGAAGAUCUUGCCUCCACAGAAGCCAACAAUCCUCCCUUCUCAUUUACUUCUAAUCUCAUCAAGUCAUUAGCUAGAGUCUGAACCUCUCUAGCCAGUGGGCGUCUAGAAGCUUGCAAGUGAGCUAGACUUCCCAUGCUUCCCGCCUUUUACUUAGAGCAUCCGCUACAACAUUCGCCUUCCCCGGAUGAUACAAAAUAGCGAUGUCGUAGUCCUUCAGUAGUUCUAUCCAUCUCCUCUGCCUCAAGUUCAAAUCUUUCUGAGUAAAAACAUACUGAAGGCUACGAUGAUCCGUGUAGACCUCACACUUAACCCCAUAUAAAUAGUGUCUCCAUUGCUUUAAUGCAAACACCACCGCAGCCAAUUCCAAAUCGUGGGUCGGAUAGUUACGUUCAUGCACCUUUAAUUGCCUUGAAGCAUAAGCAAUCACACUCUUCUCUUGCAUUAGUACUGCACCCAAACUAGAAUAGGAUGCAUCACAAUAAACAAUGAAGUUCUUACCCUCUACUGGCAAGGUAAGGAUAGGUGUGGUAGUCAACAAAGUCUUGAGCUUCUGAAAGCUUUCCUCACACUCAUCCGACCAUACAAAUGGAACAUUUUGCUUAGUCAAGUUCGUCAGUUGGGAAGCAAUAGAAGAGAAUCCCUUGACGAAUCGACGGUAGUAGCUAGCUAACCCAACAAAGCUCCUUAUUUCUGACACAUUAGUAGGUCUUACCCAAUUCUUUACUAUCUCAAUCUUAGAAGGAUCCACCAUCACUCCUUCUUUAGAAACCACGUGCCCCAAGAAGGACACUGCAUCUAGCCAAAACUCACACUUAGAGAACUUGGCAUAAAGCUUUUUCUCCCUCAACAUUUCCAAUACCAUUCUCAAAUGCUCUUCAUGUUCCUUCUUGCUCUUUGAGUAUACCAAUAUAUCAUCAAUAAAUACGAUCACGAAGAGGUCCAAAUAUGGCUUAAAAAUCCCGUUCAUCAAGCUCAUGAACGCAGCAGGGGCAUUCGUAAGACCAAAAGACAUCACUACAAAUUCGUAAUGCCCAUACCUCGUUCGAAAAGCAGUCUUUGGCACAUCCGUUGCCCGUAUUUUCAACUGAUGAUAACCGGAUCUCAAGUCAAUCUUAGAGAAGACACAAGCACCUUGUAACUAAUCGAACAAGUCAUCAAUGCGAGGAAGAGGAUACUUGUUCUUUAUGGUUACCUUAUUCAGUUUUCUGUAGUCUAUGCACAUUCGAAAACUCCCAUCCUUCUUUUUCACAAACAAAACUGGAGCACCCCAAGGAGAUGCACUUGGUCUAAUGAAGCCUUUGCUCAACAACUCUUGAAGUUGGGCCUUUAACUCUCUUAACUCUGCGGGGCCAUUCUAUAAGGGGGUAUAGAAAUGGGGCGUGUGCCUGGUUCAAGAUCGAUAUAGAAGUCAAUAUCCCUAUCUAGUGGCAUACCAGGAAGAUCUGCAGGGAACACAUCCAAAAACUUGCGGACUACCGAAACUGACUCAAUCGAAGGUACUUGGGUAGUGUCAUCCUUGUGAUGUGCCAAGAAAGCUAAACACCCUUUACUAACCAUUUUCUUAGCACGAAGAAAGGAGAUGAUACGCACCGUAUUGGAAGUGUAGUCACCCUCCCACACUAACGGAUCAGUCCCAGGCUUGGCUAACGUCACCGUUUUAGUAUUACAAUCCAAGAUCGCAAAUUGCGGAGAAAGCCAAGUCAUACCCAGAAUUACAUCAAAAUCAACCAUUUCUAAGAUAACCAAGUCUACAUAAGUAUUGCUCCCCACAAAAGUUACAAGACAAGACCUAUACACCUUUUCAACUAUCAAAGACUCACCCACCGGAGUAGAAACACGAAUAGGUAUGUCAAGCAAUUCACAAUGUAAAUUAAGACCAUUAGCAAAUGUGAAAGAAACAUAAGAAAAUGUGGAUCCGGGAUCAAAUAAUACAGAAGCCAUGCAAUCACAAACCAAAAGAUUACCUGUGAUGACAGCAUCAGAUGCCUCCGCUUCAGACCGCCCAGGGAAAGCGUAACAAUGGGCCCUAUCGUUCGUCUGUCCGUUGCCCCUACCAUGUUGUGAUGUAGUGGCUCCAGUUUGCCCAUCACCUCGGCCGUUUUGGUGACCACCAUUUCCUCGACCACCACGCCCUCCAGAAAAAUGGCCUCUACCAUGACCACCUCUACCUCUAGCUAUUGGGGGUCUGUAACUCUGUUUUGGACAAUUUCUCCUAAUAUGUCCAGUCUUCCCACAUCCGUAACACUCUCUGGAGUCAAGCAUAGGUCUCUCGGAGAAGUGUUGACCGGUCUGAGGUGGUCCCCCAACUACAGUCUGUAGUGAAGACUGAAUUGGUCGGACUGAGUAACUUCCCGAACCCUGUCCUCUAUUGUAAGCACCAUUAAACUCACCUCCCUUUCGAAACCUUUUUGAUGUCGAUGUCGUAGUGAAGUCGUCUGGCUUCACUCCUUCCACUUCUAUCACAAAGUCUACCACCUCUUAGAAGGAUUUUGCCGUUGCCGCUAUCUGUAAGGCCGAAAUCCGCAAUUCUGACCUCAACCCCUUCAUAAACCGGCGAAUUCGCUCUUGUGGACUGAAACAUAGUUGGGUGGCGUACCGGGAUAACGCACAAAACUUAGCCUCAUAUGCAUUGACCGACAUCCUACCUUGCUCUAGGCUCAAGAACUCAUCCCUUUUCCUAUCCCUCAAAGUUCGGGGGAUAUACUUCUCCAUAAACAAGCUAGAGAAUGAGGCCCAAGUCAUAGGUGGUGCCUCUAUUGGUUGACACUCGAUAUGUGACCGCAACCACAUUUUGGCGUUCCCUUGAAACUGAUAAGUCACAAACUCCAAACCAAACCGUUCUACUAUACCCAUCUUGUGUAGUAGCUCGUGACAGUCAACCAGAAAAUCAUAGGCAUCCUCUAAUUCAGCACCCUUGAAGACCGGAGGUUUCAAUUUCAAGAACUUACUGAAAAGUUCAUGCUGAUCAUUUGUCAUUAUAGGCCCAGUAGUCAGACGUGGAAAUGUGCCUAUGUCCAAUGAGGCCUCCAUACGAGGAGCCAUAGUGGCUGCAUGUUGUACUUCUGAAACCGGAGGUGUUGGCGCAGAAAACACUGGAGGUGCCUGACCUUGAUCAGAUAACCCGCUAAGAUAAGCAAGAACCUGAUUGAUCAUCUCUGGGGUAGGUUGGGGUGGCAUUUCCUCAUUUUUCACUUGUUCAUUCACCCCAUCCUCGCCCUCUCUUAUCACUUCCUCAGCCGGUGGAGGAGUCACCGCCCUAGUACCAGAUGGGCUCGGUGCUCGUCCUCUUCCUCUAGAGGACGUCCUCCCACGACCUCUACCACGGCCCCUUGCCGCUGUUCUUCCUCGAGCUACAGCCCCAGUGGCUGGCUCAGACGCACCCUGUACCGCCGGUGCUGGUGUUGGUGUUGGUGUAGUCGUUGCUCUAGUUCUAACCAUCUACGAAAGAGGGUGAAGAUGGUCAGAUACCAAUUCGUAUCGCCUAGAUACCAAUUGGACUCAAGUAGUAGCACGAAAGAAAGAAUGAAAGAGUGAAAUUUUCUUAAAGUCUUAUAGCCUCUCAAGGAAAAGUAAAGGCGUCCCCGUACCAUUCCUUAAGACUCUACUAGACCUGUUCUUGUGUGAUGAGACCAACGAACCUAAUGCUUUGAUACCAAGUUUGUCACGACCCAAACCGGGUUGCGACUGGCACUCACACUUUCCCUCCUAUGUGAGCGAACCAACCAAUCUAACUUUAACAUUUCAAUAUAAUAUCAACAGAAAGUAAUGCGGAACACUUAAACUCAUUAAAUAAAGACCAAUUCAUUAACUUCUAAAAUUCAACAUCUAUUAUUCCCCCAAAAUCUGGAAGUCAUCAUCACAAGAACAUCUACGAUCAAAUGACUAAACUAAGAAUAUUCUAAAAGCUAAAAAUACAUAAGAAGUUAGUCCAUGCCGAAAGUUCAAGGCAUCAAGACUUGAAGAAGGAGAUCCAGUCCAAGCUAGAAGCAUUAACUCACCCUGAAUUUCCGAUUUAGUAAGACUGGCUUGAAUUACUGUUGAAUUGAAGACGAUGGCACGUUUGCUGCACUCCACAAAUAAACAAGAAGAAAACAUAAAAGUAGGGGUCAGUACAAAACACGGGUACUGAGUAGAUAUCAUCGGCCAACUCAAAAUAGAAAACAAUAUAUACAAGUAAUAUCAUAAACUCAACUAUGAUACUCAACAUGUAGCAACAACAAGUACUAUAUCAUUAACCAUUACCAUCAUGUUCACACAUGAGGACUCAAGCCUCAAUACUAUACUCAUUUGGGAAUUAUGUUCUUUACAUUGAGUAUAUUAACAUCUUUCAAGAUUCAUUAUCUUUAUUUCUCUUGUGUCGGUACGUGACACUCCGAUCCCCUAAAUCUACGUGUCGAUUCGUGACACCCGAUCCCCUAAAUCUAUGUGUCGGUUCGUGACACCCGAUCCCCUAAUUCUACGUGUCGGUUCGUGACACCCGAUCCCCUAAAUCUACGUGUCGGUUCGUGACACCUGAUCCCCUAAAUCUACGUGUCGGUUCGUGACACCCGAUUCCCUAAUUCUACGUGUCGAUUUGUGACACCCGAUCCCCUAAAUCUACGUGUCGGUUCGUGAAACUCGAUCCCCUAAUUCUACGUGUCGGUUCGUGACACCCGAUCCCCUAAUCUCUUUCUAUCAAUUCAUCAAGCCUUCUUUCUCACCAAGGCAUCAUCAAUCUCAUUACUUUAGUUCAUCAAGCCUUCUUUUAUAUCAAGGCAUCAUCAUUAACAAGAGAUUAGGUUUUUAUCAAGAUUUGGGAUUCAAUAGCUUCAUCAUGCUUAAUAUAAUCACAAUUAUAUAAUCACGUUCAUGCAUGCGUACAAUUAAGCACAUAGCAGGGUUUUACAAUACUACCAAUACAUAUCAUUCUCUAUUAAGAGUUUACUAUGAAAGCAUGAAAACCAUAACCUACCUCCACCGAAGACUAGUGAUCAACAAGCUAUCUUUUCAAAAUCCUUGCUAUCCUCUUCGUUUCUCUCUCUCUCUCUACUUGUUCUCUUUCUUUUGCUGUCUCUCCUUGUUCUUUCUAUUUUUUCUUAUUCAAACCCUCUUUCUUUUACCCUAAUGAACAUAUAAUUAAGAAUAAAAGAUGGCAAUAAUGCCCAUUAAUUAACUUAAGGUUACCUCUUUUAACCCCCAAGUAAUUAGACUUAUUAACAUUAACCCACUAACUUUAUAAUUAAGGCAAGAAUAGUCAAAAACGUCCCUUAAAACGUAUGAAGAAAUCCGACCCAAACUGGGAUUUACUCAACCUGUGACGGGCCAUCGUGCCUGCGACGGUCCGUCCUGCAGGUCGUCGCAAAGUUCAGAGACCCAAAUUUCCACCAAGGGUCUGUGACAGUCCGUCACGCCUGUGACGGUCCGUCCUGCCAUUUCGUUACGAAGUUCAGAGAGUCGAUUUUCAGUACCCAAUUUUCAGUUUUUCUAAGUGUUUUGAAACGAGACCCUGCGAUGGUCCGUCGUGCCCAUGACGGUCCGUCGUUGGGUCCGUCGCCUCAGCCUGUUUUUCCAGAAUAUAAUCUAAUGCUCAAAACGACUAAACAGGUCGUUACAAGAACUAAUGGAGUCAGCAAGCUCAAGUAACCCAUUCCAAAGAACAACAGAACAAGGAUAUACAACAGACAAUAGUACUGGAAAUAUACCACGUAGAAGAGUGUAUAGACAGGGUGAUGUUCUCCCAGCAAAUCUAAAACCAAUAGGAAAAAGAAUGCCUAUAGAAGAACCAAAAUACUACAGAAAGGAGGAAGUAAAGGAAAAAUAUUAAAUAUAGCAGCACAUGAUCCACAAAGAUGGAAUUCAGUAAUUGAUUUAUGAAAAGGAAUUGGUGUAGCAGAUUUCAUAGAAAAUUAUACUGAAACAGAUGCAGAAACUAUGUAUGAGUAUUUAGAAACCUUUUUAGGAGAAUCCACCUAAAGCAUUAUGGGAAGCCUAUAAGGUAGAAUUCCCAAAGGAGUUCCAAUAUUUGGCAUCAUUAGGACCAAAUCCAUAUAACUUUACAAAUAAAAUUCAUACAUUAAUAACAGGAGAAGACCCUAAUAGUGGAUUAGUAACACUACAAGAAAUGUUGUAAUAAAAUUAGGGCACUUGAGUAUAAGUAACUGGUACCAUAUAAAGAAAUUCUUAAAUGAUUAUUUUUACUACUGUACAAUUAGUGGUAAUGCUUUCGAUCAAGAUCUAGGAAAAAAGUUAUUUAAUAAAUUGUCUGGAGCUUUAGGAAGAGAAAUAGAAGACAAAUGGAGUAAACGAGAAGGAAUAUUACAAAAUCCUCAGGCUAAAUGGUCUAUAGGACAUAGGAUACAACACAUAAUGGAAAUACAACAAGAAAAGUGCACGCACCUACAAAUACAAAAAUAAUUAAAACAAAAUGAGAUGAAUUUCUGUAAAGAUUUAAUAUACACUGCUCAAAACUAUGAUAAAGACCAAUAUAAAAGAAAAAAAUAUAAAAAAUAUAAACCACAAUAUAAUAAAAGAUAUAGUAAGAAAGAAUACUUUCUUAGAAAAUCUUCGGCUAGAAAACCAUAUCUAAAUAGAGAUAGACAUGUUAAAAAAUACAGAACAGAUAGAAACUAUAAAAAUAAGUUAGAAUGUUUCACAUGCAGAAGUAUAGAACAUUUGACAAAUACUUGUCCUAAAAGAUGUAACACAAAAACUAGAAAUGCUCAACUAGUAGGAUAAUUUAAUAAAGCAUUAUUAAAUAUAAACGAAUAUAUGUCAGAUAAUGAGAAUAUUUACUUUGUAGUAAGUAUCGAUGUAGAAGAGCAGACUAAAGAAGAGAGUUUCCCCAAUUCAGAAGGAGAAGAACUAAUUAAUGAAAUAGGACUAGAAGACCUGAACUUAGAAGAUUUACAAGUUAAUUUUAUGAAAAUAAUAGAAUGCGAACAUAAUUUUGAAAAGGACACAGGUUUAGAUAGUAACCCAUGUUGUUGGUGCAAAUGGUAUCCUAGCAAAAAUAAAACAGCUAAACGUAGUAAAUGUUUUAAAGAAGGAUGCAUAACUUGCAUAGAAAACCAACUAGGACUAAUAAUCCAAAAUAAAAAAGAAAUAUAUAGAAAUGAACCUUUAAUAAACCUUAAAGUAUUAAGUUUAGAAACAAAAGUAAAAGAAUUAGAAGACAGAAUAAUAACAUUAGAAAAGGGAAAACAUAUUGAAUCACGGACAUCAUUAGACAAUCAAGAAUUAAUUAAUGAAGAAUUUAACACCUUAAUAUGCAAUGAAGAUAAAAAAAUAUUGUUAAAGUAUUAAAAAGACUUCAAUUAAUAGAAUACGAAAUAGAAACCUUAGCAUUAGUAGAUUCGGAUGUACUAAUAGCAUCCUCAAUAAGAAAAUAGUACCUCCAGAACUAAUAAAAACCUUAGCAAAGCCGCUCGCAGCCAUGCAAAUGGACGGAACACAUAAUGUAUAUAGACACUAUAUAGAUAAAGAACAUAUUAGUUUUUUAAACACAUGUUCAGAAUUCUAUAAACCUACUUAUAAAAUGGAUAAAAUAUGGGUAAGAGACUUGAAUAUAAGUGUAGAUUUUGUAUUAGGACUAGAUUUUAUAUUACAUAAUAAAGGAGGGACUAAUAUAACAAGUGAUGGAAUAAUUUUCUAAAAAGUGUCACUCAUACAUCGGUUUUAACUAGUAAAUCUAAUACCAAAAUAAGACAUAAAUCAAAAGAAAAAUAUUGCGAUAAUUGUAAAAAUAAUUCAACAUGUAGUGAAAAUGGUUGUAAUAUAAUAUCUGAAAAUUAAUCAGAAAUAGAAGAAUUAGAAGAAUUGGAUAAUUUAGACAAAAAUUAUGUUUUAAUAGAAAUAGCAACAAAAUUAUAUAAUUUCAAAACAGGAAAUCAGAAAAUAGGAAAAAUAAAAAACCAACAAGACUUAGACAAUAUUAUAAAAAUUCUAUAUCAAAUAGAAAUAACAGGUGAAAUGCCCUUAAAACAUUGGAAAAAUAACAAAAUUGUGUGUAAACUAGACAUUAUAAACCCUGAAUACAUAAUAAAAGCUGCUGCGAUAGAAGCAACUAAUCAAGAUCUGGAAGAUUUUAGUACACAAAUUAAAGAACUAUUAGAGUUAGGAGUAAUAAAAAGAUCAACCUCAAAACAUAGAUCGGCAGCAUUUAUGGUAAGAAAUCAUAAUAAAAUAGUGAGAGGAAAAGCUAGAAUGGUAAUAAAUUAUAAAAGACUAAACGAUAACAUUAAAACAAACGGAUAUAAAUUACCAGAUAAAAUAGAACUAAUAAAUAGAAUACAAGGAAAAAGAAUAUUUAGUAAGUUUGAUUGUAAAUCAGGGUCUUGGCAGAUAAAAAUGCAUCCGGAUAAUAUUGAAUGGACAAUCUUACAUGUCUAGAAUGACAUUUUGAAUGGUUAGUCAUGUCAUUUGGUUUAAAAACUGCGCCUCCAAUUUUUCAAAGAAAACUGAAUAAAAUAUUCGGAGAAUACAAAAGGUUUGUCUUAGUAUAGUAGAUGAUAUAUUAGUAUUCAGAAAGGAUAUAAAAGAACAUUUAGGACAUUUACAAACGGUGUUUAGGUUAUUUGUUAAUAAUGGAAUAAUAAUUAGUAAAAAGAAAAUGAAAUUAUGUAAAAAUUAUAUAAUUUUUUUAGGAAUUAUAUUAGGAGAAGGAAAAAUUAAACUACAACCUCAUAUAGCCAAAAAAAUCUUAGAUAUGCCAAAUAGAUUAAAUAGUUUAAAAGACUUACAAAUUUUUUUAGAAAUAAUAAACUAUGUCAGACCAUUUAUUAAAGAUUUAGGAAAACUUGUAGGACCAUUAUAUUCUAAGACAGGAAGCAAAGGACAAAGAAAUUUUAAUAUAGAAGAUAUAAGAAUUAAUGAAUGAAGAAUUUAACACCUUAAUAUGCAAUGAAGAUAAAAAAAAAUACUGUUAUAGUAUUAACAAGACUUCAAUUAGGAAAACACAAAAUAGAUACCUUAGCAUUAGUAGAUUCGCGAUGUACUAAUAGCAUCCUCAAUAAGAAAAUAGUACCUCCAGAACUAAUAAAAACUUCUUCUAAUAUUACUUCAAUGUUCAUUCCUUCUAAUGGUACUUCCUUCAGGAUGCUUUUUUCUUCUAUAUCUCUGUGAGUUACAUAGUUAUAAUCUGUAAAUCUAAUCGAAGGUUCACCCUUAGAAUUUAUGUACAUUAGAUUAGCAUCAGGAAUGAAACUUUCUCUUUUCAUAAAAUCAUCUAAUUUCCAAUCUAAUCCCGCGUUUUUUUCAAGAUUUAUCUUUAUAGGUUUUACUAGUUUUAUUCCUUUAUUUCCCAUUACUUCUACUAUAUCUUUUUUUUUGUAAUUUAAAUCUAGUAUUACUGUUGUCUGUUAUUUUUCCUAAACAUCCUAUGCACAUUAGUAGGUUUUUUCCAUUUUGAAUUUCUUCAUAUCCUUUAGUUUGUAAUCCUAUUUUAAUAUGUUUUCCAAAUUCUUUUAAAUUCAUCAUGAAGUCUGGACUUAUAUAAAAUAUUCCUCCAUUAUUUGUCAUAUCUACAUCAGUUAAUCCAAUAAUUGAUUUUUUUAGGUCUGACAAUCUGUCAUUAUAUAUUACAAUUAAUAUCUUUAUUCCUAAUUUUUUUCUAGUUAACCCCUAACACCUAUUAUUAUUAAUCCAUAUGCAUUAAGUCUUUUCUUAAUGAAUCUAUUGUUACUGUUCACUUCUUUCGCUUAGCUUUUGUUCCUAAUUACAGUCUUCUUUAACCACACCCCGGAUAUGGUCACUAGUAGUUCUUCCUUAAGAACAUUCACCAUGACCUAUCAGAUUCCUAGGAAUUUACAGGCUCAUCCAUCGAUGCUUAGGGGCUAAGAGACUAACCAUAUACUAAGUAACAUAGAUUCAUAUUAAAGAAAAUAUAUUAAACAAAAUAAACAAGCAUAAUUUACAUAUAUGAGAAGUUACUAGAUCUAAAAGAUGAAUACUUACAUAAUUAACGGAGUGAAGUUUCCCUUUAAAAAAAUUUGAAAACUUACAUAAAAAUAAUUUUUUCAAACUUAGUACAAACAAUACAUAUAUACAUAUAUAUAUAUAUAUAUAUAUAUACAUAUACAUAUAUAUAUAUAUAUAUAUAUAUAUAUAUAUAUAUAUAUAUAUAUAUAUAUAUAUAUAUAUAUAUAUAUAUAUAUAUUGUUUCUUUUUCAUGCAAUUUCAGAGACUUUAGUUUCAAUACUCAAAAAAAUACUAAGAGAAAUAAAAGUAAUAAUAAAGUAAAGAUUUAUGUUAAAACGACGAAUUUUUCAUCAAAGUAGGUCAUUAUUAAAAUUAAUUUAUCAAAGAUAAUAUAUUAUUUUAAAAUUUUACAAAAUUAGUAUAAACGUAGUUCUCAAUAAUGUUAUAGGUAACAUUUUAUUCAAAAAAAUUCAAUAACAAAAAGAUAAAACUACGGCAGAGUAAACAGACAUAAUAUGUAAUUGUCAGUAACGUCUUAUAAUUCGUACUCUAAAGCACGUUUUACAGCUAAAACGUGACUCACAGUAACAUUUCUCUGAGAUGGUUGAAAAUUGAAAUUUCAAUCUUGUACGUGCCUCAUUCAUUAUUCAGAUUUCCACUAUUAAAAUAGAUAGAUAUAAUUGUACAUACCUUCACUUGAAAUAUGUAUGAUUUUCACUUUUCUUUUUCUUUUAUACAUAGACAAUACCUUUUUAAACAAAAAGAAAAAAAAAAUGUGAGAAAAACUUUGAACAAAUUGGAGCUUGUCUUAUAUCUUUUCAAUUUCAAAAUUUGCGAAUAAAUCAUAUGAGAGAUCUUCUUCGAGUCUAAGUAAUCAUUCCUUCCAAAUAAUAGACCAAUUGGUUUCUUACGAUUAUUGAAUUGAUUAAUGCAAUAAGUAAGCAAGACAACUAUUAAAAAAAUAAAUUAAUUGAUAUCGUAGAAAAUCCCUCGUCGCUCUUUUUUUCUUGCAAAAGUAUUAUCUAUGUAUAAAAAGAGAAGAUAAGAGAAAUUUAUAUAUAAAGUUGAAUGAGACAUGUAUGAGAUUGAAUUUUAAUUUUUAAUCAUUCCAGAGAAACGUUAUUGUAAGUCAUGUUUUAACUGUAAAACGUGUUUCACAGUAACGAAAUAUAAAAUGUUACUGACAAUAACAUUUUGAGUGUGUUUACUCUAUCAAAUUUUUGUCUUUUAGUUAUUGAAUUUUUUUGAAUAAAUUAUUACAUAAAACUUUAAUGAGAAUUACGUUUAUAUUAGUUUGUAAAAUUUUAAAAAACUCUAUCAGAUUUUUGUCUUUUAGUUAUUGAAUUUUUUUUAAUAAAGUAUUACAUAAAACGUUAACAAGAACUACGUUUAAUGGCUUACUAUGGUCAAACUUCCUUAAAAAGAUACUCCCUCCGUUUCAAAUGGAUGAUCUAGUUUAACUUGGGACGGAGUUUAAGAAAAGAAAAAAGAUUUUUCUAAUCUUGUGGUUCAAAAAUAAAGUUAUGUUAAAUGUACCAAAAUGUCCUUUAAUCUUGUGGUGUUAAAUAUGUCAAGUAAAAAGUUAAAGUUAAAGUGUUAUCAAAAAAGAAAAUGAAACAUUCUUUUUGAAACGAAGUAAAAAAAAAGUCAUUCUUUUUAAAUGUAGGGAUACAAAACAACAAUAUAUCCAAUAAAACAACUCAAAUAAUUAGAAAUAGAAAUAAAAGCAAUAACAAAGUGAAGAUUUAUGUUAAUCAACAAUUGAUAUAUCAGUUCAAACUACUGUAAGUCUAAGAAGAUCUUAGUAAUUAUUUUGAGAUAAAAAAAAAUCUGCAGUUCUAGCAUUUAAGUUUUAACGGAGACAUAAGAUACAUUUCAACAACAAAGAAAAAAGACAUAAUACUCACUUGUAAUAACUUUGAAUAACCAAUUUCUUAGCACUGAGUCUCUUCACACCUAUAAACAAUCGAUACAACAUAUUUUUAAAUCACUGACUAGAACAUCUUAAUAUAGAAUAUUUAUAUAGAAGAAAGCUGAUGAGAAAAAAUAUAAGUAGAGAUCACCAAGCAACAAUGGAAAUAAUCAAUUGGAAAUUAGAGAGCCAUCAAUUCUGUAUAAAUUAGUAAUAGAGUAAAAGUAGAAGGAACAUAUAGAAGUGGGAAACAACUGUCUUCCCCUAAACUAAAAAAUAGACAUGUGUACCAAAGAUAAAAAUUCAAGGGUUCAUAUUGAAUGUUGCUACUUUACAAGUAC